GAUGAAGAACGUAGCGAAAUGCGAUAAGUAAUGCGAAUUGCAGAAUUUCCGUGAGUCAUCGAAUCUUUGAACGCACAUUGCGCCCGCUGGUAUUCCGGCGGGCAUGCCUGUUCGAGCGUCAUUUCAACCCUCAAGCUCUCCGGAGUUUGGUGUUGGGGCGCCUGGGGCUUUUCGACCUCAGGGCCCUCAAGUCCAUCGGCGGGACCGCCAGGACACUGAGCGCAGUAGUAUUAUUUCGCUCGGUAGGAUCUUCCACGGCGGGUCGAUCUGGCCGCUAAACCCCCCAAUUCUCACCAAAGGUUGACCUCGGAUCAGGUAGGAAUACCCGCUGAACUUAAGCAUAUCAAUAAGCGGAGGA
This 358-nucleotide unclassified non-coding RNA is filed under the name soil metagenome. RNAcentral's name for it is "partial contains 5.8S ribosomal RNA, internal transcribed spacer 2, and large subunit ribosomal RNA". The stretch from base 1 to 121 matches the Rfam family "5.8S ribosomal RNA", at positions 35 to 154 of the family's 154-position model. The record is from RNAcentral.